Molecule: long non-coding RNA, 669 nt
Organism: Homo sapiens (human)
Lineage: Eukaryota; Metazoa; Chordata; Mammalia; Primates; Hominidae
Source: Ensembl
AGACUGGGAAGUCCAAGAUCAAGGUGCUGGCAGAUUCAGUGUCUGAUUCUCCUGGUCUCAUCUGUCCUUGCCGCCAAGAUGGAUUAUCUGCAGGAACUUGGACCAACUUCACGGAACCUUCCUUAUGUUCUGUUCAUACUGCCCAGACCUGCCCUGGCUUCCCUGUUGCUCCUGAGGCAGAAGAGGCCUUUGGACUUACUCGGCCCCACAUCUGUACAGUCCAGAGAUGCUGGGGGAAUUAACACCACAAAAGGUUGACUUUAGAUCAAUGUGAGACAAGUAUUUCAACUAUGAUUGUGUAUUUGUCAGUGCCUCUUUGUAAUUCUGUGAGUUUUUUCCUUCAUUUAUUUGAUAACAUACUGUAUAAUAAUGCACAUUUUAAAUUCUCAUGUCUUCCUGGUUAACAUUUUUAUUUAGUCCUAAUGUCGUGGGCUUCUUUGCUGGGGAUUAUGGUGUCAGCAUCCUUUUAGGGAUCAUUUUUCUGCCUACCACAACUAUGAUUAACUUUUUGCCAACAAUUUUGAGAAUAUAGGUGAAGUGUGUAUUUUCUUGGGAAAAAUCUGGUUGCUUAUUUUAAUUGGUAAUACAGUAACACUUCCUUUUUGUUGAUUCUUGAUCUGGGAUGUAAACAUUUCUUCUUUCAGUGUUCAAAUUUUCUUGUCAUUUCAU